This 808-nucleotide ribosomal RNA is filed under the name human gut metagenome. Its description in RNAcentral is "bacterial LSU rRNA". It matches the Rfam family "Bacterial large subunit ribosomal RNA", at positions 2123 to 2925 of the family's 2925-position model. The record is from RNAcentral.
AUUGAGCCUUGAUGUGUAGGAUAGGUGGGAGGCUUUGAAGUGUGGACGCCAGUCUGCGUGGAGCCAACCUUGAAAUACCACCCUUUAAUGUUUGAUGUUCUAACGUAGACCCGUGAUCCGGGUUGCGGACAGUGUCUGGUGGGUAGUUUGACUGGGGCGGUCUCCUCCCAAAGAGUAACGGAGGAGCACGAAGGUUAGCUAAUCCUGGUCGGACAUCAGGAGGUUAGUGCAAUGGCAUAAGCUAGCUUGACUGCGAGCGUGACGGCGCGAGCAGGUGCGAAAGCAGGUCAUAGUGAUCCGGUGGUUCUGAAUGGAAGGGCCAUCGCUCAACGGAUAAAAGGUACUCCGGGGAUAACAGGCUGAUACCGCCCAAGAGUUCAUAUCGACGGCGGUGUUUGGCACCUCGAUGUCGGCUCAUCACAUCCUGGGGCUGAAGUAGGUCCCAAGGGUAUGGCUGUUCGCCAUUUAAAGUGGUACGCGAGCUGGGUUUAGAACGUCGUGAGACAGUUCGGUCCCUAUCUGCCGUGGGCGCUGGAGAAUUGAGGGGGGCUGCUCCUAGUACGAGAGGACCGGAGUGGACGCAUCACUGGUGUUCGGGUUGUCAUGCCAAUGGCAUUGCCCGGUAGCUAAAUGCGGAAAAGAUAAGUGCUGAAAGCAUCUAAGCACGAAACUUGCCCCGAGAUGAGUUCUCCCUGACUCCUUGAGAGUCCUGAAGGAACGUUGAAGACGACGACGUUGAUAGGUCGGGUGUGUAAGCGUAGCGAUACGUUGAGCUAACCGAUACUAAUGAACCGUGAGGCUUAACCUU